Molecule: RNA transcript, 848 nt
Organism: Erinaceus europaeus (western European hedgehog)
Lineage: Eukaryota; Metazoa; Chordata; Mammalia; Eulipotyphla; Erinaceidae
Gene: AP1S3
Gene name: adaptor related protein complex 1 subunit sigma 3
Exons: 6
Source: RefSeq, a predicted model, not a curated record
GCAAACUUUCCGUCCGGGGCAUUGUGGGAGGCGGCCAUGGUCUGAGGCGGGCACCUCACCUGUCAGCUCCUCUGGGCGGCCACCAUGAUACAUUUCAUGUUGCUCUUCAGUCGACAAGGGAAAUUACGGCUACAGAAGUGGUACACGACUCUCCCUGACAAAGAAAGGAAAAAGAUCACCCGGGAAAUUGUACAGAUCAUUCUGUCACGUGGGCAGAGGACCAGCAGUUUUAUUGACUGGAAAGAGCUAAAGCUUGUUUAUAAAAGGUAUGCCAGCUUAUAUUUUUGCUGUGCAGUAGAAAAUCAGGACAAUGAGCUCUUGACGCUAGAGAUUGUGCAUCGCUAUGUGGAGUUGCUGGACAAAUACUUUGGAAAUGUUGACUUUGCGGAAAUCUGGCUGCUGGCUCCUGCCUGUCUUGGAUUCCUGGUCUGCACUCACCUUAAACUCCGAGGCUCCUCAGCUCCUGCUUCUCUAAGCUUCUGGCUUCCUGCUUCUUCUGACUUGUGGUCUGUGAGCUCGAUAUUAUCUUUAAUUUUGAAAAGGCUUACUUUAUCCUGGAUGAGUUCAUAAUGGGUGGAGAAGUUCAGGAAACAUCUAAGAAGUCUGCCGUCAAAGCCAUAGAAGAUUCUGACAUGUUACAGGAGACGAUGGAAGAGUAUAUGAACAAGCCUGCAUUUUAACUACUUGACGCCUCUGGGUAGUACAUGGUGGGACCAUGUGCAGAAACAAUACCUGGCAUCUAGUUCUCUGACAGAGCUGCCAGCACCAUGCCAAAAAGAACUUAAAAGGGAUUCUUUGUGAACUAGCAGAAAUUAAAGUUGUUUAACCUAAAAUAUUUAUCAUUACUA